This 253-nucleotide ribosomal RNA is filed under the name uncultured bacterium. RNAcentral's name for it is "partial 16S ribosomal RNA". It matches the Rfam family "Bacterial small subunit ribosomal RNA", at positions 524 to 776 of the family's 1533-position model. The record is from RNAcentral.
UACGGAGGGGGCUAGCGUUAUUCGGAAUUAUUGGGCGUAAAGGGCGCGUAGGCGGCCUGCUAAGUCGAACGUGAAAUCCCCGAGCUCAACUCGGGAACUGCGUCCGAUACUGGCAGGCUUGAAUCCGGGAGAGGGAUGCGGAAUUCCAGGUGUAGCGGUGAAAUGCGUAGAUAUCUGGAGGAACACCGGUGGCGAAGGCGGCAUCCUGGACCGACACUGACACUGAGGAGCGAAAGCCAGGGGAGCAAACGGG